GUUUGGAGCAGUGUUCCGCUCUCCUGGCUGCACUUCCCGCGUGUCUUCCCAAUCUGCCGGCAUCCACGCACCUCCGCGCCUUCCCACACUCUUGGCUGUAUCUCCGCCGUUGUCCCGUGCGGUCUGUUGCAGCCUCCUCGGCCCUGCGCAGAUGAAGACCCUCCCUCGGACGGCUUUGUGGGCCCUGCCUCAGCCGGCGCCCCCUUCUCUCCUGCAGGACCCGGACCCCCACUGCAGGGGCUGAGUGCCCCCUGGGAGUGUCACGUGACUGCUGUCGUAUGGGAGAUGUGGUCAGGAAGAGCCUGGCUAUGAGCCUCAGGUGGAUCUGUGUACACAGGCUCCGUGGAGGUUCCUCUUCAUGUCAGCCAGGCGCUAGACCCUGGGGCCUCAGGUUCUCUUUUUAAAGGGUGACCCCAGAGUUUCACUAGAGAAGAAACUCCCAGGCCUGUGGUUCUGAGGCUCCCUAGCUUUCUGGUUCACAUCAGUGGGUGUAUUAGAUGGCUGGCGGAGUCCCCAGCCAUGUCGUCAGCCCUCAGCAGGGGGCUGACCUGCCUUUCUAUGCUACAGAUGUGUUGGUGGAAGGCUGAAACUCUGCAAUGGUGCUUUCAUUACUCGGUGACCCUGAAGAGGCAACACGGCGCCCCCUAGAGGCAUGACUGGCUCCCAGGUAACAGGUGACAUCUAGUUUGGCUGUGUAAACUGGGAGCUUGGGCCUGUUCCAUUGGGAUCCUCUGAGCUGUUACUUGAAGAUGGUGCUGGAAAGUAAUGCUUGUGGGCUUCUUCUAGAUUCAUCCACUGUGUGCACAGCAGCGGGACAGAAUGGAGAGGGAGGUCCCCACACGAAGCCUCACCAGGGCUCGCUGCCCUCUGCGCCGAGUCAUGGGAGAACCCUUCCCUCAGCACAGAGAUGAGGGGAAGCCCUGGGACUGGCAUCUCUUGAGUCCCGACACUGCCCUGGUUGGGGGGUGGGGGAGCUGUGGACAGGGAAGGCUGGCCCUGAGCCUCAAUGCUGCGCCUGGAUGACUUCAGCAACCAGGAGUUUUUCUCUUGAGUUGGCAGCUGCUUGUCAAUCUGCUCUCCACCCAUCCAUUCAAUAAACUGUACACAG
RNAcentral lists this long non-coding RNA (1108 nucleotides) under Sus scrofa (pig). Its description in RNAcentral is "lncRNA (ENSSSCG00060064356.1)". Lineage: Eukaryota; Metazoa; Chordata; Mammalia; Artiodactyla; Suidae. The record is from RNAcentral.